GAUGAAGAACGUAGCGAAAUGCGAUAAGUAAUGUGAAUUGCAGAAUUCAGUAAAUCAUCGAAUCUUUGAACGCACAUUGCGCCCGCUAGUAUUCUGGCGGGCAUGCCUGUCCGAGCGUUAUUUCAACCCUCAAGCCCCCGGGCUUGGUGUUGGGGAUCGGCGAGCCUCCGCGCCCGCCGUCCCCUAAAUCUAGUGGCGGUCUCGCUGUAGCUUCCUCUGCGUAGUAGCACACCUCGCACUGGGAAACAGCGCGGCCACGCCGUUAAACCCCCAACUUCUGAACGUUUGACCUCGGAUCAGGUAGGAAUACCCGCUGAACUUAAGCAUAUCAAUAAGCGGAGGA
RNAcentral lists this unclassified non-coding RNA (343 nucleotides) under soil metagenome. RNAcentral describes it as "partial contains 5.8S ribosomal RNA, internal transcribed spacer 2, and large subunit ribosomal RNA". The stretch from base 1 to 120 matches the Rfam family "5.8S ribosomal RNA", at positions 35 to 154 of the family's 154-position model. The record is from RNAcentral.